Molecule: long non-coding RNA, 1588 nt
Organism: Piliocolobus tephrosceles (Ugandan red Colobus)
Lineage: Eukaryota; Metazoa; Chordata; Mammalia; Primates; Cercopithecidae
Source: Ensembl
UAUUAAUGAUGCAGAACAUGAUAGUGAUAUUCAUAUUAUUUGUUCCUUUUUUUUAAAAUUCAUUAUGAACUGGUCAGAAAGAAGUAUAAACGAAACGAUUUAUUUAUGUAAUUAUAUUGUAAUAUUAUCACAGUGGAUAGAUGAAAAAAAUGAAAAGGCGAUAAACAGUUACUUAGGAGAAAAGCUUAUAUAUAGCGCGAGUUAUAGUAAUGAAAAUGGUUAUAAUAAUAAUAAUAUUACUAGUACUGCUAAUAUUGCUAGUGCUUCUAGUGUUAAUAAUAAUGAUAGCAAUAGCAAUAAUAACAAUAAUAACAGUAACCAACACAACAGCACGAACAAACGCAAUAACUUAUUUUUGUCAUUUUCCUUUUUAACAACCCCCUUUGUGUUUAUGUUUUUAUUAGAUUGCAAACCAUUUAUAAAUAAUAAUUUUUUUAUAAAUUUUUAUACAUGCUUAAAAAAAAAAGAAAAAGAAAGAACAAUGAAUAUAAUUUCCUACUUAGAAAAAAAUGAGAAAUGUAUUAAUAUAAUUACAAAUAAUACAUUUAACAAUUUUUGUAAUAAUUUAUUACUGUUAUUAUAUAAUAGUAACAACGAUUUUUUUAUUAAUAAUAUUUUGUUAUUUUUUUUUUAUUUGCAAAAAGACUGGGGGAAAAUUAAAAAGACACAAAAGGAGUUUGCAAUGACAAAUAACCAUAAUAAUAAUAAUAAUAAUAAUGAUAAUAGUAAUUAUAUUUUAAAAGGCGACUUCAACAAUUCAAAAAAAGAAUUUAAAAAUAACUGUAAUAAUAAUAACAAAAAUGAAUUGUCUGUAUUGCUACUUUCAGAUGUUCGAAACAAUAUGAAGGAAAAAAUAUUAUCUGAAAAAAAAGAAAAGCUACUUUUAUAUUUUUUAAAUGAAAAGAAUUCGAAUAGAUUAACUUUGGAGAUAAUACAAAAUUUACAUUUCUUGUACAAACAUACAAACAAAAAACUGUUAUGGUUUAUUUAUUAUAUAAUUAUAAAAUAUAUAAAUUAUGUAAAUAAAACAACUAAGAGUGAUAUAAUUAAUUAUUUUUUAAUAAAGAAGCAUAUGCGAUGUUUAUUAAAAAAUGUAUUUUGCUGUGAAAAGACAGACAAUACUAAUUGUAAUAAUCAUUUUACUAAAUUAUUUAAUGACGUAAAUCAUAAGUCCUAUACACAAGACAUUGAUAAAAAAGAUAGUUAUGUGUUUUUAAUCAAUAAUGAAUAUUUAUAUAAAGACGAUUUUUUAUUUUUUUUUCUUCAAUUAAAUUUAUAUGAAACGCAUUGUAUUUUUAAAAAUAGUGUAUAUUCUUUGAUGGGUUUAAUGUUUUCAAGUGGGAAUGAUAGUGAAAAGACCAUACAUAAAGUAGAAAUACAUAAUGACAACCAUAUGUCAAACAUAAGCGAGCUAAGAAUAAACUAUAGUAACAUUAUUACUAUUAUAAAAAAAAUUGCUUAUAUAAUUUCGAAUAUGCAGAUAUGCCGAACAUACAAAGAGACCAGUGAAAACAAUAUAUAUGUUAUCAUUAAUUAUUUAUUUAUAACUAUUAAGAAAUUGAAGUUGCAGCAUGGCGUUAAUUUAGAA